Oryzias melastigma (Indian medaka) is the source of this 832-nucleotide long non-coding RNA. RefSeq lists it as uncharacterized. The record is from RefSeq and is a predicted model, not a curated record. NCBI's taxonomy places the organism in Eukaryota, Metazoa, Chordata, Actinopteri, Beloniformes, Adrianichthyidae. The transcript is spliced from 2 exons.
GAGCCCAAACUAAAGCCUGAAUAAACCACACCUCUUGGUUUCAACACUUAUUCAUCAGGGAGUAUUCUACCUGGAACCAGAUUUAACCAGUUAGAAAACAAAACACAAACAAGAGUUUCUAUUUUCAACGAUAGCCCUUUCACUUCUUUACCACACCUCUUUAAAGUUAAACUACACUAAAGUAAACUUAUUUGAAACAUGUGUGAUGGGUGACACCUGUAGGGUGUGGCUCUUCCAUUAAGGCCCCUUUAAAUAGGAGUGGGCGGGGCUGCCCAGCAGUGCCAGAUUCUUGUGGGUGACCAGGUUGACUGCUGGGCCCACGCUGUUUGUGCGGCAGCUGUGAGCCAUUGGGGGCUGCAGUAUCUGAAGGUAGACCGACAGGGUAAAUGAGUGUGGGUCCUCGAUACCACAGGUAUGCGGUAUUUUAUUGCUUUUGAUGUUUUAAAGAACUGGGUAUUUUAACAACUGAUUGUUUUUAUUCCCCAGUCAUCAUACCGCUACCUGCUGUCCUUCUUAUAUUGUGUUUUUAGUUUUUUUUACUCUAGUUAGUCUGCAAGACGCAGACUAACUGCUUUUACAUUUUUUUAUUAUUUUUAUUGGUGGUCACUUCCGGGUCUGUAAUUUCUGUUUGCCAGCCGAUUAGUUUUUAGCAUGUGCAUGUGUGUGGUGUUUGUCAUUUUAUAAGUUUUUACCGUUCUUAUUCUUUUUAAACUGUUUGCAGUGCUUGCAGCAAGUUGCUGCCUUACGUUUGUUUUAUCUCGGCUCAGGACAACAGUGGAACAUUCUAAAGACCAGGAAUGCUGUAUCAAUAAAUAUUGUCAAUUUAUUUGAA